AACGAACGCUGGCGGCAUGCCUAACACAUGCAAGUCGAACGAGACCUUCGGGUCUAGUGGCGCACGGGUGCGUAACGCGUGGGAACCUGCCCUUAGGUUCGGAAUAACUCCCCGAAAGGGGUGCUAAUACCGGAUAAUGUCUUCGGACCAAAGAUUUAUCGCCUUUGGAUGGGCCCGCGUUGGAUUAGCUAGUUGGUAGGGUAAAAGCCUACCAAGGCGACGAUCCAUAGCUGGUCUGAGAGGAUGAUCAGCCACACUGGGACUGAGACACGGCCCAGACUCCUUCGGGAGGCAGGAGGUGGGAAUAUUGGAACAAGGGCGAAAGCCUGAUCCAGCAAUGCCGCGUGAGUGAUGAAGGCCUUAGGGUUGUAAAGCUCUUUUACCCGGGAUGAUAAUGACAGUACCGGGAGAAUAAGCUCCGGCUAACUCCGUG
Molecule: ribosomal RNA, 433 nt
Filed under: uncultured bacterium
Lineage: Bacteria
Description: partial 16S ribosomal RNA
Rfam family: Bacterial small subunit ribosomal RNA
Source: RNAcentral